Molecule: long non-coding RNA, 538 nt
Organism: Coccinella septempunctata (seven-spotted ladybird)
Lineage: Eukaryota; Metazoa; Arthropoda; Insecta; Coleoptera; Coccinellidae
Exons: 3
Source: RefSeq, a predicted model, not a curated record
UUUGAAAUUUUCAAAUUUCUCUUUCAUUUUUUAGCAGAAGUGUUUACUCUCUGGUUAUAUCAUAGAACGUAAUACUCUUUGAUUAUUUUAUCUCUUCUGUGCAGAGACAGGUUGUCUCUGGUUCUAUGGUUAUACUUGAUGUUGAUCUUAGUUACCUUUCUCGAAGAACGCUAACGCGCUUGCGCGUCCGCCGUGAUUCGAUACGAGAUUCAAAAACAGUUGCCAUAAAAUAGUUAGCUUUGGUCGGACAUUUGCAAUUUCUAGAAUUUUCCGAUGCUUUCCUAUGAUUUUCGACGAUUUCGAUCGAAUUUCCAACAGAUUAGAGAAAAGAAGAAAUUCCUUUAGAACAGAAUCAACUACAGCAACUUCUGAUGGAAAACAAUAAAUUCCAGUCAAAGCAAGACUUUCCGCUGAAAAUUAUGUCAGGGGACUUAGAAGAAAAUCAAGAUGAUGACGAUCAGAGAGGAAGGAACUACUCAAUCGAUGGACAUCUCAGAUGAAUACAAUAAAAGUGGUUGUUUGUAACAAUUACGAAGAC